RNAcentral lists this ribosomal RNA (309 nucleotides) under uncultured bacterium. RNAcentral describes it as "bacterial SSU rRNA". It matches the Rfam family "Bacterial small subunit ribosomal RNA", at positions 28 to 334 of the family's 1533-position model. The record is from RNAcentral.
GAUGAACGCUGGCGGCGUGCUUAACACAUGCAAGUCGAGCGAUGAAGUUUCCUUCGGGAAACGGAUUAGCGGCGGACGGGUGAGUAACACGUGGGUAACCUGCCUCAUAGAGUGGAAUAGCCUUCCGAAAGGAAGAUUAAUACCGCAUAACGUUGAAAGAUGGCAUCAUCAUUCAACCAAAGGAGCAAUCCGCUAUGAGAUGGACCCGCGGCGCAUUAGCUAGUUGGUGGGGUAACGGCCUACCAAGGCGACGAUGCGUAGCCGACCUGAGAGGGUGAUCGGCCACAUUGGGACUGAGACACGGCCCAG